GGUAAUAUAAGGGAGCGUGUGGCCUCAGCCCGCUCAAUCCGGGACUGAUUCUGAUUCUGAUUCUGAUUGGGAGUAAAGAGAUCCAUUUAUCCGAUGUAUGAUCACCUAGAUAAGCCAUGAUUGUAUAUGCCAAUAUAAAUGUAUGAAUUGUUAUAUGCUAAAUUGAUGAUUAUAUGCCAUGAUUAAUUAUGAUUUUUGAUAUAUGGUUGAGCAUAUGACAUUGAACUAUUAUGGAUUGAUAUUGUGAC
This 248-nucleotide long non-coding RNA is filed under the name Gossypium barbadense (sea-island cotton). RNAcentral's name for it is "long non-coding RNA (GBAR_LNC020001)". The record is from RNAcentral. Lineage: Eukaryota; Viridiplantae; Streptophyta; Magnoliopsida; Malvales; Malvaceae.